UCUCCCCCCUAUAGACGGCCUCCCCAUAACCCUCCACCUCCUCGCACCUUUGUUAGCCACCAUGAGACCCCCCUCCGCACCUCUGUCCUUAACCUCCUCAGCCCUUUAUCGCUCACACUGCUACAACUCACACAAAAACCUAUAUGCUCGAGAAAAAUCCCAAUUGAAAUCUAAGAAAUCCCUCUAAUCUCCAUGCUCUCUUUCCUUGCUCUUCUCUGCUUCGUCACUCUACCACCCUC
This 239-nucleotide long non-coding RNA is filed under the name Elaeis guineensis (African oil palm). RNAcentral's name for it is "long non-coding RNA (EGUI_LNC054070)". Lineage: Eukaryota; Viridiplantae; Streptophyta; Magnoliopsida; Arecales; Arecaceae. The record is from RNAcentral.